Acanthosepion pharaonis is the source of this 91-nucleotide non-coding RNA. NCBI's taxonomy places the organism in Eukaryota, Metazoa, Mollusca, Cephalopoda, Sepiida, Sepiidae. The record is from the annotation of a GenBank genome assembly.
ACGGUGACAUCCCUUCGAAACACCGGUUCCCGUAUGAUCCCCGAAGUUAAGCAACGGUGAGUCUGGUCACUACCUAGAUGGGUGACCACUU